Molecule: ribosomal RNA, 71 nt
Filed under: Pseudomonas syringae pv. tomato
Lineage: Bacteria; Pseudomonadati; Pseudomonadota; Gammaproteobacteria; Pseudomonadales; Pseudomonadaceae
Also listed under: 1 other name
Source: RNAcentral
CUUGACGACCAUAGAACAUUGGAACCACCUGAUCCCAUCCCGAACUCAGCAGUGAAACGAUGUAUCGCCGA